Molecule: ribosomal RNA, 230 nt
Filed under: uncultured eukaryote
Lineage: Eukaryota
Description: partial 18S ribosomal RNA
Rfam family: Eukaryotic small subunit ribosomal RNA
Source: RNAcentral
GGGAAACUCACCAGGUCCAGACAUAGCAAGGAUUGACAGAAUGACAGCUCUUUCUUGAUUCUGUGGGUGGUGGUGCAUGGCCGUUCUUAGUUGGUGGAGUGAUUUGUCUGGUUAAUUCCGUUAACGAACGAGAUCUUAUCCUGCUAAAUAGGAACGUGUGUCUUCGGACAUGCAGGUUGCUUCUUAGAGGGACUUUGCGAAUUGAAGCGUAGGGAAGGUUGAGGCAAUAA